RNAcentral lists this long non-coding RNA (319 nucleotides) under Anas zonorhyncha (Eastern spot-billed duck). RNAcentral's name for it is "lncRNA (ENSAZOG00000002156.1)". Lineage: Eukaryota; Metazoa; Chordata; Aves; Anseriformes; Anatidae. The record is from RNAcentral.
UGUUCAUCUCUGAAUGAUGCAUAGUGUCUGCCUGCCUCCUAUUAAAAAACUGCUAUGAGCAGCGGCUGGCAGGCAGGCUGGUCAGCAGUGAUUCAUUCCCUGGCAGCUAUGGUGAGCAGCAUGGGCUAAAUUCAGCCUGAGUGGAGGUAUCAAGGGAAAAUGGCUAACAGUGAGUUCUGUAGCUUUUCCUGCUCUGCAGCCCCUCUGGCUUAGCCAGCUGGAUCACACUGAAUUAGUCAAGUACUUCAUUAUCUCCCUUCUCUGCACAUUUUGCUCCAGGACAAGCUCCUUGCUCCAGCCACCCACAGGUGGGACCUGA